This is a long non-coding RNA of Priapulus caudatus, 683 nucleotides long. RefSeq lists it as uncharacterized. The transcript has 3 exons. NCBI's taxonomy places the organism in Eukaryota, Metazoa, Priapulida, Priapulimorpha, Priapulimorphida, Priapulidae. The record is from RefSeq and is a predicted model, not a curated record.
CACUCUACAUCUAGCUUAGCGCCCCCUGGUGAGAUCGCACCCCUCUACAUCAAGCUUAGCGCCCCCUGGUGGAACCACACCACGCUACAUCAAGCUUACUGCCCCUUGGUGAGACCACACCACUCUACAUCAAGCUUAGCGCCCCCUGGUGGAACCACACCACGCUACAUCAAGCUUACUGCCCCUUGGUGAGACCACACCACUCUACAUCAAGCUUAGCGCCCCCUGGUGAGACCGCACUAUUCUAUAUGAGCCUCCACUCUCCGAUUAAAGGAACUGCUAAGAGUAAAGAUUCGAUUUCGACAUUUCCAUGGAGAAUCACUGACGGGCCACCACUCUCCGAUUAAAGGAACUGCUAAGAACAAAGUGUGAGGACCUCUCUUACCCUGGUAGAGGAGCGGAGAAGGCAGAAGGCGCAUGAUGCACACCAAUUCGCGUCGGGGGACUUCCGAGACAAACCAUCGUAACCGACGGUUACAGUGUUUUAUACUGAUAUUCCACGAGUUUUUAGAAAAAUUUGUAUUUUAUACUAAUCGUUUAUUGCAAGUUCAAUCCCAUAAUGUAUGAGCAUGUGGUUUCGCGUUUUAUGUGUACGACUGCGGCUCGUUGUCAGAAAUUCUCAUUUCAUGCUCAUUCAACUAGAGCAACUAGCACUCGAACUAGAACAACUAGCUCUAGAACUA